UCAGACUCUCUUGAAAAGGCAGGUCAAAUGAAGGAUUUCACCUGACCUUAUAGGUCAAUGUCUUUGGAGACAGCAUUUCCAGGUAUUAUAUGGUGCAGAGGGGUCCCUCGUGACACCGCGUGAUGUAGGACUCUAUUUCUGCUUGUCAAAGUAUGCGUAGACUGCCCCGACAAAGGCUUCUCUAGACAGCUCAUCAGCUUUUGCUGUGAGGCUCAGCUGGCUUUAUUUCCCUCCCCCUAGAAGACUCUGGGGCUCCAGUAAAGCCCCUCCCACUCCAGGACACAGGCUGGGGGCAGGUUCUUGACCCUCAUCCAUCACAGUG
RNAcentral lists this long non-coding RNA (322 nucleotides) under Homo sapiens (human). Its description in RNAcentral is "non-protein coding lnc-FBXO31-9:2". Lineage: Eukaryota; Metazoa; Chordata; Mammalia; Primates; Hominidae. The record is from RNAcentral.